GUACGCAGUUUGUUUUAUUUAUUUAAAAAUUAAGUAGUGUACUUGUGCCUCCUGCUUCCCCUUCCCCACAAUUUUCAUUUGGGGUGCCCCCUUUUUGCUUUAGGUUACCAUCUAUCCCUUAAAACCAUUUUUCUGUAUCGUAGGGCCCUCCAGAUGGCACAAGAUUGUUAGAGAUGACAGUCACUGUCUAACAAUCUGGCAUUUGCCUUUAUAUAACAGUGCGCUGAAGUGUAUAUGUACAUCAUAUUGGGUCAAGGGUUAAUAUAACAGUGUUGGCUAUGCAAAACUGGGCAAUGUCAUUCUUUUUAAACAAUACAUUCUGUAGUAGACUGUCCCCAUUUAAUGUUUGAAUAUUUUUUCUGUCCAACAGAAUCCCAGAUAGUAUUGGCAAGGACAUUGAGAAAGCAUGUCAGUCCAUUUAUCCUCUCCAUGAUGUAUAUGUUCGCAAGGUGAAGAUGCUGAAAAAGCCUAAGUUUGAGCUGGGCAAACUAAUGGAACUGCAUGGUGAAGGGGGUGGCACUGGAAAACCCACAGGUGAUGAGACUGGUGCCAAAGUAGAACGGGCAGAUGGCUAUGAACCCCCAGUACAGGAGUCUGUCUGAGAUGGUCACUCUGAUUUAGAAAGUCUGUACAAACAAAAUUAAAAACAAAUUCUAUAUAAA
Bombina bombina (fire-bellied toad) is the source of this 662-nucleotide long non-coding RNA. RefSeq lists it as uncharacterized. Lineage: Eukaryota; Metazoa; Chordata; Amphibia; Anura; Bombinatoridae. The transcript is spliced from 2 exons. The record is from RefSeq and is a predicted model, not a curated record.